Molecule: ribosomal RNA, 401 nt
Filed under: uncultured bacterium
Lineage: Bacteria
Description: bacterial SSU rRNA
Rfam family: Bacterial small subunit ribosomal RNA
Source: RNAcentral
GAAUAUUGCACAAUGGGCGCAAGCCUGAUGCAGUAACGCCGCGUGCGGGAUGAAGACCUUCGGGUUGUAAACCGCUUUUCACGGGGACGAGUGAGGACGGUACUUGUGGAAUCAGUCUCGGCUAACUACGGGCCAGCAGCCGCGGUAAGACGUAGGAGGCGAGCGUUAUCCGGAUUCACUGGGCGUAAAGCGCAUGUAGGCGGCUCGGCAAGUCGUGUGUGUAAGCCCCUGGCUCAACUGGGGGAGGUCAUGCGAGACUGGCGGGCUUGAGGACAGCAGAGGAGCGUGGAACUCCCGGUGUAGCGGUGGAAUGCGUAGAGAUCGGGAAGAACACCAGUGGCGAAGGCGGCGCUCUGGGCUGUGUCUGACGCUGAGAUGCGAAAGUGUGGGGAGCAAACGGG